UGAACAUCAGAAGACGAUGUUGUCAUACGAUAUUUAUGCAGAUGUUGUUCCAUAGCAAAUCACCUCUUCUAAUUAAAUUGUUUGAAUAUUUAGUCAUACGAUAUUUAUGCAGAUGUUGUUCCAUAGCAAAUCACCUCUUCUAAUUAAACUGUUUGAAUAUUUAGUCAUAUGAUAUUUAUGCAGAUGUUGUUCCAUAGCAGUGUAUAACACUACACUAGAAUCUGUGUUCGAGCUCAGUUCUUGCAUGUCAUGUGUCAAAUAUUUACAUUGUAUGAAUAAACUUGGGAUGGCAGGCAUUUAUGAUGUUUUCUAUAUUGCGGAAUCAAUUAUCCAUGUACAUGCAACACUUUUGAAUUUUAAUACUCUCGUAUGUAUGCAAGUUAUGUAUAACAUGUUUCUAUUUGCGUUUCCUCUCUUCAUGCUGAGUUCUCCUGGAUUCGGAGAAAAAGCUGGCCAGUGUCGUCCCGAUUGCCAAAUGUGUGGUCAGAUUUUCUAUUUGCAGUCAGUAAUGAGAAAGCUGAGUAAGGACUAAGGAGAACAAAAAAUCUUCCUGCAAGGUCAAGAUGGUGAAGAGAAGGUUUGGCUUGGACGGACAGUAUAUGUAAUCUUUAAGGAGACAAGUUCUUAUAUUGCCUCAAAUGGCAAGAGAUGUGGAAUUCCAUCGAUUUUUGCUCGAAAUAGUGUAUAGAAAUGGGUUCUUUGCAAGAAAGAAUUGCUUCUACUAAAAAGGCGGACGGAAACCAUAUGUUUGAUUGUGCUCGAUGCCUACCUAUCAACAAUAUAACAUCGUUUGAUCAAUGUCUAGGAACUAUUUUUUGCGGGACAUAGCAAUGAAUUGGAU
Molecule: long non-coding RNA, 841 nt
Filed under: Triticum aestivum (bread wheat)
Lineage: Eukaryota; Viridiplantae; Streptophyta; Magnoliopsida; Poales; Poaceae
Description: long non-coding RNA (TAES_LNC015607)
Source: RNAcentral